CUGUGAGCUGCAGGUAGCACCGCCCCCACCCUUGGUGGAAGGGAAAGGACAGAGAGAGAGGCAGUGGGGAGAAGAUGCAUAAGUUGCACUUCAGCGGAGAGUCAAUGUCGGAGGCUUUGUCCAGCGACAUCCAGACACUUAAUAAACUCUCCAACCAGCAAUUUUCAGCGUUAACAGAAAUAAUCUUCCGCUUUGUUACAGAACCCACAGAGUCAGUACGAUUAUUAAGCGAGCUCAGUGAGUUCGCCUCACAGAAUGGAAUGAGUUCAGGCCCAUUGAAAAACAUUGUGAAAAGUGUGCUGUUGAUUCCUAAUGGUGCCUUGAAAAGAAAUUUGACAGCUGAACAUGUCAAAGCUGAUUUCAUUACUCUGGGACUAAGUGAGGAGAAGGCUGGAUGCUUUGCAGAUCAGUGGAAAUUGCAUUCUGCAGUAUUGUCAAGACUGGCACUAGGACAAACAAUGACCGUCAAUCAGUUGGUAGAUAUGGAGUGGAAGUUUGGAGUAACUGCAGGGAGCAGUGAGCUUCAAAAAGUUGGUAGCAUAUUUUUACAGUUAAAGUUGGUUAUCAAGAAGGGGAACAAAAGUGAAAUUAUUUACAUGGCAAGAAUGGGCUUUAGGCUCUGCAGAAAGGAAUGUGUGAGUUUGGAGCUGGACUUCCCCAUGAACCUCAACAUUUCCUGUGUACAUCCAAGCAGAUUGGGCCUGAUCUCCUGAAUAUUUCCAUUUUUUGGGUCAGAAUGAGCCAAACCAGCCCUGAGGAAGAUAAAGGUAGCCGUAAGGAGCUAACUUUAAGGAUCCAGCAGUUUCAGGCAUAUCCUUAAGGUUAAGGACAACUUGUUUCCAUUCAAGAGAAACAAAGAACUGCAGAUGUUGGAACCUAGAUGAAAGAAACAAAGGACUGCACGGAUUCUUCACGGAUGCUGCCUGGCCUGCUGAGUUCCUCCAGCAUCAUAGUGUUUUUCAUCUUGUUUCCAUUCAAUUUCUGUUUGUUCUGACGUGGCUGAAAAGUCUUACACUGAACAAACCUAAAACAAAACUUGCUUGUCUACCAGGACAAGGAGAUGUCCAUGACCAAAUAUUGCAGACUGGCACGUUCCAAAGUCCAGGACUACAUGAUGAAAGACUUACUGUACAUUGAUACAGUCACUGCAGAGACUGUAUGGGGAAGGCCACAGGUUAAAGCCUUGCCAUCAUUGUACACUGAGGGGCUAGAACCUAUGUAAAAACCCUAUGUACUGUUGUGUUAAGGAAGAUUCACAAUCAGAAUCAGGUUUAUUAUCACUGACAUAUGUCAUGAAAUUUGUUAUUUUGUGGCAACAGUACAGUGCAAGACUUAAAAAUUACUAUGUUACAAAAGUAAAUAGUGUAAAAAGUGGAAUAACGAGGUAGUGUUCAUGGGUUCAUGGAUCGUUCAGAAAACUGAUGGCGGAGGGGAAGAAGCUGUUCCUGAAACGUUGAGUGUGGGUCUUCAGGCUCCUGUACCUCCUCCCCGAUGGUAGUAACAUGAAAAGGGCAUGUCCCGGAUGGUGAGGGUCCUUAAUAAUGGAUGCCACUUUUUUGAGGCACUGUCUCUUGAAGAUGUCCUCGAUGGUGGGGAGGGUUGUGUCCAUGGUGGAGCUGGCUGAGUCUACAACCCUCUGCAGCCUCUUUCAAUCCUGUGCAUAGGAGCCUCCAUACCAGGCAGUGAUGCAACCAGUCAGAAUGCUCUCCACUGUACAUCUGUAGAAAUUUGCAAGAGAUUUGCAAAAGACAUCUGUAGAAAUUGACAUCUUGCUGAUAUAAUGUGAAUCUUGUAUGAAUGUGGAAAGUUCUGUCUUGUGCUCUGAGUGGUAACAUAUACUGUAUUAUAUAUUACACAUUUUAUGAAUAAUAUAUAAUUGUGGGGGAAAAGGAGUCCUAAGAGGGAUCCACAGACUCUGCACAGGUGAGGCAGAAGGGUGGGUUGCUUAUGAGGUUCUGUGUUCCUUCCACCAUUUUCAUUUAGUCUACACAUUGCUCCUGUGGAAGAGCUCUGAGGUUCUCGGUGCCAUCCUAGAUGCUCUUCCUCCAUUUCCAGCAGACAGAGGCCAGGGAUUUCUAAGAGCAGAUGAGGAUGUAACAUUUUUUCAGAAGGGCUUUGAUAAUAUCAUUGAAUCAUUUUCUCUGCCUUCUGGUAAUCUCUUAUCGUGAUGGAACUUAGGUUCUGGGAUUGGGCAUGUGACCAUUAAUGGAGCUGGUUGAGUAAUAAUGAGAACCUUGAUGCUGUGGAUGUAGAUUCACUAAUCCUGCCAUUGGAUUUGGAGGAAUUUGAAGAGACAGCAUUGUCGGUACCUCUCUAGUGCUUUGAAGAGCCUGAUGUAAGUAGUCCAUGCCUCUGAUAUGUGAAAGAGGGCAACAUCACUGUUGCCCAAUGGACUAUGAGCCUAGAGCCAGGUUUGAGGUCUUGAUCUUCGAACAUGGAUUUCCUUAGGUGGCUGCGCUGGUAUAUUUGGAGCUGGUUUUGAGCACUACCAUUGAUAUCUUCAUUCACUGAGGGAUAUGUUUGUUUAAGGACGCUCUGGACUGAGGAUACAGCCAAAGAAAUGCACUUGGGACCCUUCAGUUCCUCAGCAACAUAUGGAGAGACUACAUUCAGGCAGCCAUUACAGAUUUAUCAAAAUAUUCAGAGGAAGCCCACAGGAAGAGUGUCCAUCGUGGGUCACAAGCCUCAGAUCAUUUGCUCACUGGGACCAGAUGGAAAACAACUGCAGACCACGAGAGUGAAGAGAGAGCCAAGGGGGCAGGGAGUGAAGUAUGGGUCUGAAUACAUGGGUAGGAGGAUGUGUGAGGUAGACAAAGAGCAGAAGAAAAAGAGAGGCAAAUUUAAAGAAGAAAAAGAAGAAAGGAGAGAGGGCACUGAGUGGUAAGAGGUGCAAAAAAGAGGAAGGCAACGUUGUGAAGGGGGCUGAGAGAGGGAGGGAAAAGGUGUCAGGCGGUGAUCUGGAAAUAUUAGUGAGGGAGAGAGACUGAGGGAGGAGAACCAAGGUGUGCGUAUCUGUAUGGACAGAGAAGCAGUUGUGUGCAUGUUCAGGCAGCAAUAUCCAAUCUCCAAUUGUCUUUGACCCGCUUGCUUUGGACCAUGACCCCACUCUGUCAAGACAUCGUGGUAGGUGAAUUCACACAUAGGCCCUACUCAAGUUCAGGAUCCAGAACUUUAGAACCUGUAUGGACAAGCCCAGCAAUGACCAAUGUGGAUCUUUUUGUGGUCUGCCCUCCUUCAACUCAAAGCCAUUGGGGAAGAAUCUCUACUUCAUUGGUGGACUGAGAGAACAAUCUUUUUUUAAUCCUGCAAGUCUUGGUAAGAUGAAAGUUACAUUAUAGCUGGUCACCGGAAGCACACUCUUCUUAGCCAUUCAUCAGCCCUGACAAAAAAAACAAGGAGUUUUAAAUCACUGAAGGUAACAGAGGGUAAGGUCUGUCUUUGUCCUCACUCUGAAGGUCAGGUUCUGAUUACAUGAUGGUUUGUUCCCAUUUAAGGCAUAGAAAAUUCACUGUGUUUGAAUGAUCAAUUUCUGCAUGGCGACUUCUGUGUAAAAAUCUCUGAGAAUUGUUUAGCCUCUCCAAGAAUGGGAACUUUUGUAGCUGGGCAUUUCCCCUCUGGGACAAAAAGGAUCUGGGGGUUGUUUACAGCUGGCUUGUUCAUCUGCUGAACAUGGAGGAAGAGACUGACAGAAGCGACGUGACAUGGCAUCAUACUCCCAGGCCCAUUAUGCAAAUUGAAAAUUCUAUUUCCCUCUUUUCUCCCAGAAUCAUUGCAGCUUUCUCUGGGUGAUUAAUCUUUCAUUCCUGGAGAACACACAUAGUACCAGAUACGUACUUUACAAAUCUUAUACUCCAACCUUUCUGUUAUGUUUCCCUUCCACCACCAGCUGUAACAAGUAGAUUCUUUCCAAAUACUGCACUUAUUUUCAUGUCACUUUAUAAAAUGACCUGGCCGCAUACUUUCAAAAUUCUUAUCCACACUGUCUGCUUGUGUGCUAUUAAUUGCUCCUGCCAUUUCCUCCACUGUACAUGCACAAUGAACAAACAUCACGCGGCAGUCAGUGAAAUGUUUAUAGCUGUGCAUUUUGUAACUUGGUUCUAUUUGGUCAGCCAUAUAUUUUAGAAAUUGCAGCAAAGAAACAAAACAUUUUGCUGGAUCUCAAAUGGAAAAGCAAUUGUUCCAUGCUGAACUGUUGGGAUUUCUCAGCAUCAGUGUCACAAGGAUUCCCUUGUGAACUCACACUUGCUGACUGCUCUAUACUCCGUCCAUCUUGCAAACCAGCCUCCCAUUCAUUGACUCCAUUUACACUUCCCACUGCCUUGGGAAAGCAGCCAACAUAAUCAAGGACUCCUCUCACCCUGAUAAUUCUCUCUUUAAACUUCUUAAACUUUUAAACUUUUAUUUAUACAUCACGGUAACAGGUCCUUCUGGCCCAACGAGCCCGCACCGCCCAGUUACACCCAUGUUAACCUACUAACCCAUACGUCUUUGGAAUGUGGGCAGAAACUGGAGCACCCAGAGGAAACCCAUGCAGUCACGGGGAGAACGUAUAAACUCCUUACAGGACAGCAGCAGGAAUUGAACCCCCUCUCUCAUCUCCCGUCAGGCAGAAGAUACAAAAGCUUGAAAUUACGUGUCACCAGGCUCAAGAACAGCUUCUAUCCCACUGUUAUCAGACUCUUAAACGGACCUCUCACUUGCUAAAAAUGAACUUUUGAUCUCGCAAUCUAUCUCGUUGUGGACCUUGCACUUUAUUUGUUUUCCUGCUCUGCACUUUCUCUGUAGCUGCAAUGUUAUAUUCCGCAUUCUGUUUUCUUUUUACUAGCUCAGUGUAUUUAUGUAAUGCAUGAUCUGCCAGGAUGGCAUGUAAAGAAAUCUUUUCACUACAUCUUGGUACAUGUGACAAUAAACCAAUAACAUACCACUGGGGUUUUGCUGACUGUACUCUGGUGUUGGACUCCUCUAUGCAGCAAAGCAUGAACUGCCGUAAUUUACC
Molecule: RNA transcript, 4996 nt
Organism: Pristis pectinata (smalltooth sawfish)
Lineage: Eukaryota; Metazoa; Chordata; Chondrichthyes; Rhinopristiformes; Pristidae
Gene: commd7
Gene name: COMM domain containing 7
Exons: 12
Source: RefSeq, a predicted model, not a curated record